AAAAAUCCGCACCUCAUGUGCCUGAGACCUGACACGGACCCGUAAGGGGAAGUCGGUGAUCCUAUGCUGCCAAGAAAAUCUUCUAGCGAGGUUCUAGCCGCCCGUACCCCAAACCGACUCAGGUGGUUAGGUAGAGAAUACCAAGGCGAUCGAGUGAAUCGUGGUUAAGGAAUUCGGCAAAAUACCCCCGUAACUUCGGGAGAAGGGGGGCCCAGAGGGUGACGGGACUUGCUCCCCGAGCCUGAACGGCCGCAGAGACCAGGGAGAAGCGACUGUUUACUAAAAACACAGGUCCGUGCCAAGUCGCAAGACGAUGUAUACGGACUGACGCCUGCCCGGUGCUGGAACGUUAAGGGGACCGGUUAGCCUCACGGCGAAGCUGAGAACUUAAGCGCCAGUAAACGGCGGUGGUAACUAUAACCAUCCUAAGGUAGCGAAAUUCCUUGUCGGGUAAGUUCCGACCUGCACGAAUGGCGUAACGACUUCUCCACUGUCUCAACCACGAACUCGGCGAAAUUGCACUACGAGUAAAGAUGCUCGUUACGCGCAGAAGGACGGAAAGACCCCGGGACCUUUACUACAGCUUGGUAUUGGUGUUCGGUACGGCUUGUGUAGGAUAGGUGGGAUACUGUGAAGCUGACACGCCAGUGUCGGUGGAGUCAACGUUGAAAUACCACUCUGGUCGUUCUGGAUAUCUAACCUAGGUCCGUAAUCCGGAUCAGGGACAGUGCCUGGUGGGUAGUUUAACUGGGGCGGUUGCCUCCUAAAAGGUAACGGAGGCGCCCAAAGGUUCCCUCAGCCUGGUUGGCAAUCAGGUUUCGAGUGUAAGUGCACAAGGGAGCUUGACUGUGAGACUGACAAGUCGAACAGGGACGAAAGUCGGUACUAGUGAUCCGGCGGUGGCUUGUGGAAGCGCCGUCGCUCAACGGAUAAAAGGUACCCCGGGGAUAACAGGCUGAUCUUGCCCAAGAGUCCAUAUCGACGGCAUGGUUUGGCACCUCGAUGUCGGCUCGUCGCAUCCUGGGGCUGGAGUAGGUCCCAAGGGUUGGGCUGUUCGCCCAUUAAAGCGGUACGCGAGCUGGGUUUAGAACGUCGUGAGACAGUUCGGUCCCUAUCCUCUGCGCGCGCAGGAAACUUGAGAAGGGCUGUCCCUAGUACGAGAGGACCGGGAUGGACGAACCUCUGGUGUGUCAGUUGUUCUGCCAAGAGCACCGCUGAUUAGCUACGUUCGGGAGUGAUAACCGCUGAAAGCAUCUAAGCGGGAAGCAUGCUUCAAGAUGAGGUUUCCAUGGGGUUUACCCCGAGAGGCUCCCAGCUAGACUACUGGGUUGAUAGGCCGGAUGUGGAAGUGCGGUAACGCAUGGAGCUGACCGGUACUAAUAAGCCGAUAACUUGCC
Molecule: ribosomal RNA, 1397 nt
Filed under: metagenome
Description: bacterial LSU rRNA
Rfam family: Bacterial large subunit ribosomal RNA
Source: RNAcentral